Long non-coding RNA from Manis pentadactyla (Chinese pangolin), 617 nucleotides. RefSeq lists it as uncharacterized. NCBI's taxonomy places the organism in Eukaryota, Metazoa, Chordata, Mammalia, Pholidota, Manidae. The record is from RefSeq and is a predicted model, not a curated record. The transcript is spliced from 2 exons.
GCUCUUCCCCAGGGGUUAUGGAGGUCGGCACCUUUGCCCUGUGGCCAGGGUUGCCAUUACCUACAGUUUACGGACUUGACCUCAGUUACACUGUUGCCCUAGAUCCCCAGAUACAUUGAUGUGCUCCAACUACAAAAAACUUAAUACCUUUCUUCAACGUGCCUUCCCAUCUUUAACACACCUGUUCACUAUCUGGAAUUCUCUCAUCUUCAUCAGAUGAACUGACCACUUUCUCUUCCAACAGACAGUCUGCCUCAAAGGUUUCCACCUGGCUGAACCUGGGAAGCUGCAAAAGGCACUAAUGUCUGGUUCUUCUCAUCUACUCCACUCUCCACCCACCCGCAGAGGUUCUGAUUUGAGGAUCUGCAGCCUGCAUGUUGGGAUUUGUUUUUUAAGCUUUCCAGAUCCCUCUAAUAUACAGCCACGGUUGAGAACUACUGGUGCACAUGUGGAUGAACAUAUACACAAAGGUACAUAUCCUUUUGUUUUUCCACACAAGUGGUAGCACACUCUCUGCAUUAUUCUGUACUUUGAUAUUUUACAUAAUGUAGCAUUUGUAUUGGUUUUCUGUUGCAGUCAGAGACAUUAAAAUCAACUUAAUGGUUUAAACAACACAA